UGCCCGGAUAGCUCAGUCGGUAGAGCAGGGGAUUGAAAAUCCCCGUGUCCUUGGUUCAAUUCCGAGUCCGGGCACCAA
Molecule: transfer RNA, 78 nt
Filed under: Shigella boydii CDC 3083-94
Lineage: Bacteria; Pseudomonadati; Pseudomonadota; Gammaproteobacteria; Enterobacterales; Enterobacteriaceae
Also listed under: 13 other names
Description: tRNA-Phe
Rfam family: tRNA
About the family: Transfer RNA (tRNA) molecules are approximately 80 nucleotides in length. Their secondary structure includes four short double-helical elements and three loops (D, anti-codon, and T loops).
Source: RNAcentral